UGUGGGAGCGGGCUUGCCUGCGAUAGCAAUGGAUCAGUCGAUAUCAAUGUGACUGACCUACCGCUAUCGCGGGCAAGCCCGCUCCCACA
Molecule: unclassified non-coding RNA, 89 nt
Filed under: Pseudomonas yamanorum
Lineage: Bacteria; Pseudomonadati; Pseudomonadota; Gammaproteobacteria; Pseudomonadales; Pseudomonadaceae
Source: RNAcentral